GGUGCUGCAUGGCUGUCGUCAGGCUCGUGUCGUGAGAUGUUGGGUUAAGUCCGCUAACGAGCGCAGCCCUCACUGUGUGUUAUACGUGUCACACGGGACUGCCGGUUUUAAGCCGGAGGAAGGCGAGGAUGAAGUCAAGUCAGCAUGGCCUUUAUAUCUUGGGCUACACACACGCUACAAUGGUCUGUACAACAGGUUGCCAAGCCGCGAGGCGGAGCCAAUCCUAAAAGCAGGCCUCAGUUCAGAUUGUAGGCUGCAACCCGCCUGCAUGAAGAUGGAGUUGCUAGUAACCGCAGGUCAGCUAUACUGCGGUGAAUACGUUCCCGGGUCUU
Molecule: ribosomal RNA, 332 nt
Filed under: uncultured Anaerolineaceae bacterium
Lineage: Bacteria; Bacillati; Chloroflexota; Anaerolineae; Anaerolineales; Anaerolineaceae
Description: bacterial SSU rRNA
Rfam family: Bacterial small subunit ribosomal RNA
Source: RNAcentral